This 775-nucleotide ribosomal RNA is filed under the name Variovorax sp. RNAcentral's name for it is "bacterial SSU rRNA". It matches the Rfam family "Bacterial small subunit ribosomal RNA", at positions 39 to 813 of the family's 1533-position model. The record is from RNAcentral. Lineage: Bacteria; Pseudomonadati; Pseudomonadota; Betaproteobacteria; Burkholderiales; Comamonadaceae.
GCGGCAUGCCUUACACAUGCAAGUCGAACGGCAGCGCGGGAGCAAUCCUGGCGGCGAGUGGCGAACGGGUGAGUAAUACAUCGGAACGUGCCCAAUCGUGGGGGAUAACGCAGCGAAAGCUGUGCUAAUACCGCAUACGAUCUACGGAUGAAAGCAGGGGAUCGCAAGACCUUGCGCGAAUGGAGCGGCCGAUGGCAGAUUAGGUAGUUGGUGAGGUAAAGGCUCACCAAGCCUUCGAUCUGUAGCUGGUCUGAGAGGACGACCAGCCACACUGGGACUGAGACACGGCCCAGACUCCUACGGGAGGCAGCAGUGGGGAAUUUUGGACAAUGGGCGAAAGCCUGAUCCAGCCAUGCCGCGUGCAGGAUGAAGGCCUUCGGGUUGUAAACUGCUUUUGUACGGAACGAAACGGUCUUUUUUAAUACAGAAGGCUAAUGACGGUACCGUAAGAAUAAGCACCGGCUAACUACGUGCCAGCAGCCGCGGUAAUACGUAGGGUGCAAGCGUUAAUCGGAAUUACUGGGCGUAAAGCGUGCGCAGGCGGUGAUGUAAGACAGUUGUGAAAUCCCCGGGCUCAACCUGGGAACUGCAUCUGUGACUGCAUCGCUGGAGUACGGCAGAGGGGGAUGGAAUUCCGCGUGUAGCAGUGAAAUGCGUAGAUAUGCGGAGGAACAUCGAUGGCGAAGGCAAUCCCCUGGGUCUGUACUGACGCUCAUGCACGAUAGCGUGGGGAACAAGAGGAUAGAUAGCAUGGUACUCACGCCCUAACGAUGUU